AGUGAACGCUGGCGGUAGGCCUAACACAUGCAAGUCGAACGGCAGCACAGUAAGAGCUUGCUCUUACGGGUGGCGAGUGGCGGACGGGUGAGGAAUACAUCGGAAUCUACUUUUUCGUGGGGGAUCACGUAGGGAAACUUACGCUAAUACCGCAUACGACCUACGGGUGAAAGCCGGGGAUCUUCGGACCUUGCGCGAUUGAAUGAGCCGAUGUCGGAUUAGCUAGUUGGCGGGGUAAAGGCCCACCAAGGCGACGAUCCGUAGCUGGUCUGAGAGGAUGACCAGCCACACUGGAACUGAGACACGGUCCAGACUCCUACGGGAGGCAGCAGUGGGGAAUAUUGGACAAUGGGCGCAAUCCUGAUCCAGCCAUACCGCGUGGGUGAAGAAGGCCUUCGGGUUGUAAAGCCCUUUUGUUGGGAAAGAAAAGCAGCAGGUUAAUACCCCGCUGUUCUGACGGUACCCAAAGAAUAAGCACCGGCUAACUUCGUG
Molecule: ribosomal RNA, 492 nt
Filed under: uncultured bacterium
Lineage: Bacteria
Description: partial 16S ribosomal RNA
Rfam family: Bacterial small subunit ribosomal RNA
Source: RNAcentral